GCGGGCAUAGCAUAGUUGGUAAUGUGCGAGCUUGCCAAGUUCGAGAUCCCGGGUUCGAGCCCCGGUGCCCGCUCCA
This 76-nucleotide transfer RNA is filed under the name Bacteroidota bacterium. RNAcentral's name for it is "Bacteroidetes bacterium (permafrost metagenome) tRNA-Gly". It matches the Rfam family "tRNA". From Rfam's summary of the family: Transfer RNA (tRNA) molecules are approximately 80 nucleotides in length. Their secondary structure includes four short double-helical elements and three loops (D, anti-codon, and T loops). Lineage: Bacteria; Pseudomonadati; Bacteroidota. The record is from RNAcentral.